GGCGCCGGGGCUGAGGGAGGGAGGAACGGUGGGGAGGGGAGGGCCGCUCUCCGCGGGGCCCGGCUCGGCGGCCUCUCCGGACCAAGGAGGAGAGACCCAGAGGACUAGGGGGUGGGGUGAGAGGAGAAAAGAGCAGUCACCCCCAACAGGCGCCUUCUGUCACCGAAGAUGAAGGUGCGAGUGGCCCACGAAGAAGAGCCGCGCCCGCCCGGGAAACUCUCCGCGCUAAAUGGCGCCGGAGUCUGAAGCCUCCACACAGCCCGCUCGGACCCCGCCCCCCGCGCCUUGGGCGGCUCCACCCCCGCCGCGCGCUCAGCUCCAGCGCAGGCGCGCUAGGUCCAAGCACCCUGGGACUCGUAGUUCGCUAGUGGAAGGCGUGAAAAGGACUGAGGAGACAGAGGCCUAGAACUUCCGUGAUGCCCUGCGGCGGCUUUAUUUUAAUGCCUCCCGGGAACUGUGGUUUUCUUUGGAAACCGCCCCUUCUGGAAGCCUGAUGGGAGAGUCAUCGUGGGUCCUUCAAACCUCUCCCGAAGUCAGUACUCGCUAGGAAAAUCAUUUCUUAGGGAUUAAUUGUGGACGAAGGGAAUGAAGCAAAGAAGAAAAAAGAAGUGAGAGAGAGCGGAGAGACUCCCAUCAUGCUCUGCCAAGAGGGUUGCCUUGCAGUGAAAAAUGAUCCUGUUAUUGGUCUUUAAUGGAGAGAGCCGCAGUAGUGUUGAGCGAGUGGGAUUUGAGGGAGGAGGGGAAGGCAAAGCGGGAGGGGAGAGCUGAGAGUCGGAAGAGCCAUCCACUCCUAGGAAACUUUAUGGAGAUAGUGCAUGAGAUUAAUAUUGAUUGGAUGGGUUAGGGUAGGAGCAUUAAAGCAGUAUUAUCUUCCACCCCACCACCACCCUCCUGCGUAUACAUAUACACACGCGGCGCGCGGACCAAUUAAGGCCACAUUUUCAGCUCCAGAUUCAAGACAAAUUCUGAAUGCAAAGAUGGGCUCCUCUGCUGAAAUCAAGGAUUGUCUUGUUUUGCCAGAAAAAAAGAGUAAUGGGUAGGGGAGAGGGAUUCAAGAAAAGAUAAAGAUAUAGUACAUGUUCGCGUCUUUGACCAUAAACUUGAGAGGGCCGAGUUGACUUCUGCCUUUGCAGUUGGUUAAAACUUAUUUUCCAUCUUUCUUUUGCUUAGGAGCUUAGUAAACAAACAAACAAAAAAACACCCCUUCUUUCUCUGGAGCUGCAUGAAUGUACGUAUAUAAUUAAUACCAAGGCGCUGGACCCAGGAAAUCUGGAUCCAUACAAUUCACAGUGCGGGAAAUACUUGGCUUCAAAUCAUCGUUGUGCUCCCUGGCUCCCUUAGCAGUUUGCUACAACAGUACGCGGGAUUGCACAGGUGAUGAGCAGCAGGGGGCACCAGACAGAGCAGGAAGCGGGAUUUGGAAAUCAGACGGCAGUUAAAGUCUUAGCGGGACGGGUAAGAGCGGGAAGGCUUAAGCGCACGCAACCGCCUCGGAGUGUGGAUGCGCCUCCGCCUCUCAUCCGCGCCUGUGGACCGCGCUGAGAAUAGCAGUAGUUUGGAAACCAGUGGCCAGAAGAUUCGUUAGCACAGUUUCUCUGGAUGAGCGCCGCUUAGAGAAGACUUGCUUGUAUAAACUCAUCAGACACGCUGAAACUAACGCUGCUUCUCUUUUUGCUUUGUUUCGUUUUGUUUGCCAGAGCUACACUUUCAGGCUUACCCACAACGUUCGUUUUAAACCAAUGGUAUUUAGAUUUCGUGAAACUGAUAGGUUAUGAACAUUGUAAAGUACAAAUUCAGGAGAGGCAGGGCCGGGGAUUUAGCCCAGUGGUUUCGCAGCUUGCUGCACAAGUUCAGGGACCCGAGUUCGAUCCCCAGUACAAAAAAAAAAAAAAAAAAUUCAGUAGGGGCAACUAGAGUACAGUUCUAAAAUACUAAUGUUCCAUUGUUUUAGAGAAUAAAUUUUUCAUUUGCCAUUUCUAACGGUAAAUCUUGUGAGGAUUAUAACUAGUGGAUUUUCUCCAGUGAUAAACCUAAUGUCAGCAAGGGAAGAAAUGGCAGUAAAGUGUGUUUUUGUUGUGCCUCUUGGUGCUUCUUAGACGUUACCCAGUUGUUGUUUUACUAGGAAAAAGUUUGUAACAUAAGACAACUAAUCACAAUGUUCACCUUUUUGCCACUGUAAAAAAAAAUUAGGAUGUUUCUGUGUGAGUGGUUAUGAAAGGAUUUUAUUAUUGCCCAUUCCUGUUUACUGAACCCUGAAACUUUGGUCACACUGCAUUGGACACAAGUCUUUAACAAUCAACAUGGCCUGUCAACAUGUCUUUUCAACCAAGAACACCUAAAUUCAUUGUAAAUAAUUCAGUCAAUUGUUGACUUAAAGUACUCUAGCCUACACUACAGCUCUUCGUACUUGGGUCAUGUUAGCCUCACUAUGAAAACAGAUAUAAUUUCGAGGAUAAUCAUUAUGUACAAGGGUUAGAUUUAAAGCUUAUACUCUGUACUGUGAAUCUAUUACUAUAAACACUUAUUUGCUCAAUUCUCUUUUUACAGCUUACCAACCUACAAGUAAUUUGAUGUUUUUCUAUAUGUCGUUGCUAUAAUCCCUAGAAGUACUUUUCUUACUCUGUCAUUUCAAUUAUCAAGUAAGGAAUCAACUCCUCUAUCAUCGAUAUAAAACAUCAAGUGACUAAGUAGAGGUAGCAGGAAAAACCAG
Long non-coding RNA from Heterocephalus glaber (naked mole-rat), 2710 nucleotides. The record is from Ensembl. NCBI's taxonomy places the organism in Eukaryota, Metazoa, Chordata, Mammalia, Rodentia, Bathyergidae.